This is a non-coding RNA of Pleodorina starrii, 76 nucleotides long. The record is from the annotation of a GenBank genome assembly. Lineage: Eukaryota; Viridiplantae; Chlorophyta; Chlorophyceae; Chlamydomonadales; Volvocaceae.
GUCAGCGUAGCUCAGUUGGUAGAGCACUCGCUUGUCAAUUCGGUGGUCAUGGGAUCGAUCCCAUCGUGCAGGGGCG